GUCUGGUCCAUUGCCUUUCCACCAACACACACAUAAAUUACACAUGCAAGUAUCUGCACCCCCGUGAAAACGCCCUUAAUCUUAAUAAAAGACAAGGAGCUGGUAUUAGGCACAGAUUUUCUAGCCCAUAACACCUAGCUUAUGCCACACCCACAAGGGUACUCAGCAGUGAUAAACAUUGCAAAUAAGCGAAAGCUUGAAUCAGUUAUAGUGUUUUAGAGCAGGCCAAUUCGGUGCCAGCCGCCGCGGCUAUACCGCCAAGCUCAAGUUGUGGAACAACGGCGUCAAGCGUGUUUUAAGUUAUCUAUUAAAUAGAAUCAAAUAGUAUAUCAAGCAGUGAUAUGUUGAUUAUUCAGAAGCACACAACGAAAGUAAUUCUAAUACAACUUGAAUCCACGACAGCUGAGAAACAAACUGGGAUUAGAUACCCCACUAUGCUUAGCCGUAAAAAAUUAAAUUACACCUAAAAUC
This 471-nucleotide ribosomal RNA is filed under the name Afrixalus pygmaeus. RNAcentral's name for it is "partial 12S ribosomal RNA". The record is from RNAcentral. Lineage: Eukaryota; Metazoa; Chordata; Amphibia; Anura; Hyperoliidae.